RNAcentral lists this transfer RNA (72 nucleotides) under Ictidomys tridecemlineatus (thirteen-lined ground squirrel). RNAcentral's name for it is "Spermophilus tridecemlineatus (thirteen-lined ground squirrel) tRNA". It matches the Rfam family "tRNA". From Rfam's summary of the family: Transfer RNA (tRNA) molecules are approximately 80 nucleotides in length. Their secondary structure includes four short double-helical elements and three loops (D, anti-codon, and T loops). The record is from Rfam by way of RNAcentral. Lineage: Eukaryota; Metazoa; Chordata; Mammalia; Rodentia; Sciuridae.
GGGGUUGUGGUUCAGUGGUAGAGUGCUUGCUUAGAAUGCGUGAGGCCCUGGGUUUGAUCCUCAGCACCACUU